AUAAAAAAAAUCGAAACCCAGUG
RNAcentral lists this non-coding RNA (23 nucleotides) under Gossypium hirsutum (cotton). Lineage: Eukaryota; Viridiplantae; Streptophyta; Magnoliopsida; Malvales; Malvaceae. The record is from RNAcentral.